This 478-nucleotide ribosomal RNA is filed under the name uncultured bacterium. RNAcentral describes it as "partial 16S ribosomal RNA". It matches the Rfam family "Bacterial small subunit ribosomal RNA", at positions 28 to 507 of the family's 1533-position model. The record is from RNAcentral.
GACGAACGCUGGCGGCGUGCUUAACACAUGCAAGUCGAACGGGAUUUAGUAGACAGAAGCCUCGGCUAAAGAUUACUAAUGAGAGUGGCGAACGGGUGAGUAACGCGUGAGCAACCUGCCUAUGACAGUGGGAUAGCCUCGGGAAACCGGUAUUAAUACCGCAUAAAAUCGUAGAAACACAUGUUUCAACGGUCAAAGAUUUAUCGGUCAUAGAUGGGCUCGCGUCUGAUUAGCUAGUUGGUGAGAUAACAGCCCACCAAGGCGACGAUCAGUAGCCGGUCUGAGAGGAUGAACGGCCACAUUGGAACUGAGACACGGUCCAAACUCCUACGGGAGGCAGCAGUGGGGAAUAUUGCACAAUGGGGGAAACCCUGAUGCAGCGACGCCGCGUGAACGAAGAAGGUAUUCGUAUCGUAAAGUUCUGUCCUAUGGGAAGAUAAUGACAGUACCAUAGAAGAAAGCUCCGGCUAAAUACGUG